CAAUAGCGUAUAUUAAAGUUGUUGCGGUUAAAAAGCUCGUAGUUGGAUUUCUGCCGAGGACGACCGGUCUGCCCACUGGGUGUGUAUCUGGCUCGGCCUGGGCAUCUUCUUGGAGAACGUAUCUGCACUUGACUGUGUGGUGCGGUAUCCAGGACUUUUACUUUGAGGAAAUUAGAGUGUUUCAAGCAGGCACACGCCUUGAAUACAUUAGCAUGGAAUAAUAAGAUAGGACCUCGGUUCUAUUUUGUUGGUUUCUAGAACUGUGGUAAUGAUUAAUAGGGAUAGUUGGGGGCAUUCGUAUUUAACUGUCAGAGGUGAAAUUCUUAGAUUUGUUAAAGACGGACUACUGCGAAAGCAUUUGCCAAGGAUGUUUUCAUUGA
This 380-nucleotide ribosomal RNA is filed under the name uncultured eukaryote. RNAcentral describes it as "partial 18S ribosomal RNA". It matches the Rfam family "Eukaryotic small subunit ribosomal RNA", at positions 592 to 976 of the family's 1831-position model. The record is from RNAcentral.